ACGUAGGAUGCAAGCGUUGUCCGGAUUCAUUGGGCGUAAAGAGUUCGUAGGCGGUUUGUUAAGUCUGAUGUUAAAGACCGGGGCUCAACCUCGGAAAUGCAUUGGAUACUGGCAGACUGGAGUGCAGUAGAGGCUAGUGGAAUUCCCAGUGUAGCGGUGAAAUGCGUAGAUAUUGGGAAGAACACCGGUGGCGUAGGCGACUAGCUGGGUUGUAACUGACGCUGAGGAACGAAAGCCAGGGGAGCAAAUGG
RNAcentral lists this ribosomal RNA (251 nucleotides) under uncultured prokaryote. RNAcentral's name for it is "partial 16S rRNA". It matches the Rfam family "Bacterial small subunit ribosomal RNA", at positions 525 to 775 of the family's 1533-position model. The record is from RNAcentral.